Molecule: ribosomal RNA, 429 nt
Filed under: Bacillota bacterium
Lineage: Bacteria; Bacillati; Bacillota
Description: Firmicutes bacterium partial 16S ribosomal RNA
Rfam family: Bacterial small subunit ribosomal RNA
Source: RNAcentral
UAGGGAAUCUUCCGCAAUGGACGAAAGUCUGACGGAGCAACGCCGCGUGAGUGAUGAAGGCUUUCGGGUCGUAAAACUCUGUUGUUAGGGAAGAACAAGUACGAGAGUAACUGCUCGUACCUUGACGGUACCUAACCAGAAAGCCACGGCUAACUACGUGCCAGCAGCCGCGGUAAUACGUAGGUGGCAAGCGUUAUCCGGAAUUAUUGGGCGUAAAGCGCGCGCAGGCGGUUUCUUAAGUCUGAUGUGAAAGCCCACGGCUCAACCGUGGAGGGUCAUUGGAAACUGGGGAACUUGAGUGCAGAAGAGAAAAGCGGAAUUCCACGUGUAACGGUGAAAUGCGUAGAGAUGUGGAGGAACACCAGUGGCGAAGGCGGCUUUUUGGUCUGUAACUGACGCUGAGGCGCGAAAGCGUGGGGAGCAAACAGG